Molecule: long non-coding RNA, 1646 nt
Organism: Elaeis guineensis (African oil palm)
Lineage: Eukaryota; Viridiplantae; Streptophyta; Magnoliopsida; Arecales; Arecaceae
Source: RefSeq, a predicted model, not a curated record
GUUGGUCAUUAGUCUUUCUAUGGAUGAACUUUUAUAAUUUGCUGCUCAGAAACUUGAUAAUAGUCUUGCUAAUUAGUUUCUGACAGUUUGUUUGAUGAGUCUUGAUUUGUGCCCAAUUGAAGUCUUUGCCAUUAUGUGGCAUCAACUCUUCAUUUGUAUAGCUGGGUCGAACAAAUGACAUCAGUAUAUCAGAGACUGGUAUCAAAUGAGGACACAUAUUUACUAUUGGUGUCAGACAACAAAUUACUGCUAUCCAAAUGAGUCAACAAGGGUAAACUAUUGUUAUGCAUUUUUUAGAUGCAUGCAUAUAGUAAAUGUAAAACCUCUUUAAUUAUCCUCAAGAGGAGCACAGUAAGAUCAAAAAUCUCAUUGCAAUCAAUGUAAGAGCACCACUGUCCAGUUGAGCUAUGAUGACUGGAAUCUUGAGUGAAGCCUUCAUUGGUUUAAAAUGAAAAUCAGGUAUGUUUCUUUGGCUGUUACAUUCAGAAGUUAGGACGUUCAGAUAUUAAAGAACUUUAGACAGAUUAUGAACAUAAAUACUUGGUUACAAAUGUUUUCUAGAAGAAUUUGAUACAUACGCCGGAUACACAUGGUUCUCACGAGACUGGAAAUUUGCUUAUUGCACGUAGAACAUGAUGUCUGCCUUUUCGGCUAUUGCAUUCAAAGCAUUCCUUUCUCGAACAAUUUCUGAUAAUUUUCAAAGUGCAUCCUUGGAUAUCAGGGUUUCCAUAAGAAGUGGAUACAUGUGCCAGAGAUUCAUUGUAGGCAUGGAGGCCAGGAUCACUCAUGUCCAUGAAAUCAGAGUUCAAACUCAUCAUUUUCCGAGCUGAUCGCAGGCCUUAAAAACAGAUGAAUAGCAUGAGACAUGAGCGAUUGCAAGCCUUUUAUAACAUUCCAUGCUGAUUGCAAAUAGAACAUGACAUACGCCUUUUUGGCUGUUACAUUCAUAACAUUCCUUCAUAGAACAAUUUCUGAUAAUUUUGAACAUGCAUCCUUGGAUAUGAAUGUUUUCAUAAGAAGUGGAUAUGUGUCUUGGAGACUGAUUCUAGGCAUGGAGGCAAGGAUCACUCAUGUCCAUGAAAUCAGAGUUCAAACUGAUCAUUGUCUGAGCUGCUUGCAGGACUUUUAAACAGAUGAAUAUCAGCUACCAGAUAAAAUCUUAAUCUUGUCUGAACUUUUGAACCUCUGAUUAUAUGGCUUAUGUUGAAGCUAAGAAGUGCUUUAGUUUAUAUUGAUAGGGAUCAUCAUCAGAAGGCCUCUACGUAAACCUUGCUGGGGAUGGAGGAAUACUGGAAUAAGUCGCAGGGUGCCCUACUUUUGUUGCAUCAUUCUUUGAAUAGAUGGGCUGCUGAAUGUGUUCAACCAAAAAAGAAUGACAACCUGGGACAUAAGCCUACUCUUUUGAACAACAUUGUACCAUGGUAGGCAUCUAAGUUUGAGCAGGUAUUGUGUCAUGUAGCAGCUUCAUUAUCACUGGAUCACAGAGUUUGAGCAACUGGGAAAAGGCAUCUUUGUAAUGUUAAUUUACCAUAGAUCGGUGAGGUGCUGGUAUGUCAUAGCUAUGCUUUGAGUAGCAAAAUGAGGUAUUUCUUAAAUAAAUAGUCAUAUUUAUUUAAAGUAUGAUAUGUGACAUGCAAAAUUUGCAU